AACGAACGCUGGCGGCAGGCUUAACACAUGCGAGUCGAGCGCCUCGCAAGAGGAGCGGCAGACGGGUGAGUAACGCGUGGGAAUCUACCGUGCCCUAAGGAAUAGCUCCGGGAAACUGGAAUUAAUACCUUAUACGCCCUUCGGGGAAAGGAUUUAUCGGGUAGUGAUGAGCCCGCGUUGGAUUAGCUAGUUGGUGGGGU
This 200-nucleotide ribosomal RNA is filed under the name uncultured bacterium. Its description in RNAcentral is "partial 16S ribosomal RNA". It matches the Rfam family "Bacterial small subunit ribosomal RNA", at positions 29 to 258 of the family's 1533-position model. The record is from RNAcentral.